UACGGAGGGUGCAAGCGUUGUUCGGAAUUACUGGGCGUAAAGGGCGCGUAGGCGGCCGCGUAAGUCUGAUGUGAAAUCCCUGGGCCUAACCCAGGACGUGCAUUGGAAACUGCGUGGCUUGAGUACGGGAGAGGAGAGCGGAAUUCCUGGUGUAGAGGUGAAAUUCGUAGAUACCAGGAGGAACACCGGUGGCGAAGGCGGCUCUCUGGACCGAUACUGACGCUGAGGCGCGAAAGCGUGGGUAGCAAAC
This 250-nucleotide ribosomal RNA is filed under the name uncultured bacterium. Its description in RNAcentral is "partial 16S ribosomal RNA". It matches the Rfam family "Bacterial small subunit ribosomal RNA", at positions 524 to 773 of the family's 1533-position model. The record is from RNAcentral.